Molecule: long non-coding RNA, 322 nt
Organism: Columba livia (rock pigeon)
Lineage: Eukaryota; Metazoa; Chordata; Aves; Columbiformes; Columbidae
Exons: 3
Source: RefSeq, a predicted model, not a curated record
AGUAGUACGUAAGUUUUCAGGAUCUAACAUCAUAUAAAAGUACUGAUUUCAAAUUAGGAAUCAUUCUGACAACAGAAUCACAAGACGCCAGAUCCGCAAAACAAACAAACAAAAAACCAACAACAGUCACUUGCCAGAAUCAAUUCCUGACGAGAUGAGUGGACUAAUUUCCCAAGACAGAUCAUACUGUAUCCUGCACGCCUGUAGUCUUACUGCCCUGUGAAUAAAGCAGAGCUCGUCUACCAAGCCUGAAGAUGGAAAACAUCACCUCAAGCUCUAAGCUGGCCUGUAACGAGAGUUUGGUGAACGUGUUUAGUAUGGC